This is a non-coding RNA of Hypoxylon crocopeplum, 133 nucleotides long. Lineage: Eukaryota; Fungi; Ascomycota; Sordariomycetes; Xylariales; Hypoxylaceae. The record is from the annotation of a GenBank genome assembly.
GCCCGGUUAGCUCAAUCGGUAGAGCGUGAGACUCUUAAUCUCAAGGUUGCGGGUGAGUAAAAAUUCUCAACACAACUGAUCCACUUGACCCUAAGCUAACAAAAUCGCAUAGGUUCGACCCCCGCAUCGGGCU